RNAcentral lists this ribosomal RNA (494 nucleotides) under uncultured microorganism. RNAcentral's name for it is "bacterial SSU rRNA". It matches the Rfam family "Bacterial small subunit ribosomal RNA", at positions 9 to 524 of the family's 1533-position model. The record is from RNAcentral.
GAGUUUGAUCGUGGCUCAGAACGAACGCUGGCGGCGUGGAUAAGACAUGCAAGUCGAACGGGAGAAUUGCUAGCUUGCUAAUAAUUCUCUAGUGGCGCACGGGUGAGUAACACGUGAGUAACCUGCCCCCGAGAGCGGGAUAGCCCUGGGAAACUGGGAUUAAUACCGCAUAGUAUCGAAAGAUUAAAGCAGCAAUGCGCUUGGGGAUGGGCUCGCGGCCUAUUAGUUAGUUGGUGAGGUAACGGCUCACCAAGGCGAUGACGGGUAGCCGGUCUGAGAGGAUGUCCGGCCACACUGGAACUGAGACACGGUCCAGACACCUACGGGUGGCAGCAGUCGAGAAUCAUUCACAAUGGGGGAAACCCUGAUGGUGCGACGCCGCGUGGGGGAAUGAAGGUCUUCGGAUUGUAAACCCCUGUCAUGUGGGAGCAAAUUAAAAAGAUAGUACCACAAGAGGAAGAGACGGCUAACUCUGUGCCAGCCGCCGCGGUAAC